UACGUAGGGUGCAAGCGUUGUCCGGAAUUAUUGGGCGUAAAGAGCUCGUAGGCGGUUUGUUGCGUCGGCUGUGAAAUCCCGAGGCUCAACCUCGGGUCUGCAGUCGAUACGAGCAAACUAGAGUGUUGCAGGGGAGACUGGAAUUCCUGGUGUAGCGGUGAAAUGCGCAGAUAUCAGGAGGAACACCAGUGGCGAAGGCGAAUCUCUGGACAGUUACUGACACUGAGGCACGAAGGCCAGGGGAGCAAACGGG
Molecule: ribosomal RNA, 253 nt
Filed under: uncultured bacterium
Lineage: Bacteria
Description: partial 16S ribosomal RNA
Rfam family: Bacterial small subunit ribosomal RNA
Source: RNAcentral